RNAcentral lists this small nucleolar RNA (132 nucleotides) under Pelusios castaneus (West African mud turtle). RNAcentral describes it as "Small nucleolar RNA SNORA77 (ENSPCEG00000011181.1)". It matches the Rfam family "Small nucleolar RNA SNORA77". Rfam says of the family: ACA63 (SNORA77) is a member of the H/ACA class of snoRNAs that guide the sites of modification of uridines to pseudouridines. This snoRNA was identified by computational screening and its expression in mouse experimentally verified by Northern blot and primer extension analysis. ACA63 is proposed to guide the pseudouridylation of 18S rRNA U814. Lineage: Eukaryota; Metazoa; Chordata; Testudines; Pelomedusidae. The record is from Rfam by way of RNAcentral.
GCAGACUCACUCUGUGCCUGACUGCAGUCUUCAGUCCAGGGGCUUUUUCAGUCUGCUAGAGUAAUGGUCCAAGAUGUUGAGAACACUUUUCUUUGUAGAAGACUGUUGCAAUUGCUGCUUGGACAUAAUUUU